CAAUAGCGUAUAUUAAAGUUGUUGCAGUUAAAAAGCUCGUAGUUGGAUUUCUGGUUGAAGCGACCGGUCGGGCGUUGAUUCGUCUGCACUGGAGUCGGUUUUGGCCAUCCUCUAGGAAAGUGCGUCUGGUAUUAAGUUAUCGGGCGUAUGAUCCUGGUCUUUUACUGUGAAAAAAUUAGAGUGUUUAAAGCAGGCCUUCGCCUUGAAUACAUUAGCAUGGAAUAAUAAGAUAGGACUUUGGUCUAUUUUGUUGGUUUGCAGACCGAAGUAAUGAUUAAUAGGGAUAGUUGGGGGUAUUUAUAUUCCGAUGUCAGAGGUGAAAUUCUUAGACUUUCGGAAGAUAAACUUAUGCGAAAGCAUUUACCAAGGAUGUUUUCAUUAA
This 382-nucleotide ribosomal RNA is filed under the name uncultured eukaryote. RNAcentral's name for it is "partial 18S ribosomal RNA". It matches the Rfam family "Eukaryotic small subunit ribosomal RNA", at positions 592 to 976 of the family's 1831-position model. The record is from RNAcentral.